Molecule: non-coding RNA, 115 nt
Organism: Acanthosepion pharaonis
Lineage: Eukaryota; Metazoa; Mollusca; Cephalopoda; Sepiida; Sepiidae
Source: the annotation of a GenBank genome assembly
UUACGGCCAUAUCACGUUCAGACAACAGUUCUCAUGCGAUCACCAAAGUUAAGCAACGUAGAGCAUGGUCAUUACCUAGAUGGGCGACCUCUUGGGAAUACCCGGUGCUGUAAGC